RNAcentral lists this ribosomal RNA (888 nucleotides) under uncultured archaeon. RNAcentral describes it as "bacterial SSU rRNA". It matches the Rfam family "Archaeal small subunit ribosomal RNA", at positions 52 to 940 of the family's 1478-position model. The record is from RNAcentral.
UGCUAGUUGUACGAGUUCAGACUCGUAGCGGAUAGCUCCGUAACACGUCGCCAAACUACCCUGCGGAGAGCCAUAACCUCGGGAAACUGAGGCUAAUAGCUCAUACGCGUCUCAUGCUGGAAUGCUCAGACGCUGAAAUGCUCCGGCGCCGCAGGAUGUGGCUGCGGCCGAUUGGGUAGACGGUGGGGCAACGGCCCACCGUGCCGAUAAUCGGUACGGGUUGUGAGAGCAAGAGCCCGGAGACGGAAUCUGAGACAAGACUCCGGGCCCUACGGGGCGCAGCAGGCGCGAAACCUUUACACUGCACGCCAGUGCGAUAAGGGGACCCCGAGUGCGAGGACAUACUAGUCCUCGCUUUUCUACACCGUAAGGCGGUGUAAGAAUAAGAGCUGGGCAAGACCGGUGCCAGCCGCCGCGGUAAUACCGGCAGCUCAAGUGAUGGCCGAUUUUAUUGGGCCUAAAGCGUCCGUAGCUGGCCACGAAAGUCCGUCGGGAAAUCUAUCUGCUCAACAGAUAGGCGUCCGGCGGAAACUUCGUGGCUUGGGACCGGAAGGCUCGAGGGGUACGUCCGGGGUAGGAGUGAAAUCCCGUAAUCCUGGACGGACCACCGAUGGCGAAAGCACCUCGAGAAGACGGAUCCGACAGUGAGGGACGAAAGCUGGGGUCUCGAACCGGAUUAGAUACCCGGGUAGUCCCAGCCGUAAACGAUGCCAAUUAGGUGUGGCGCAGGCUACGAGCCUGCGCUGUGCCGUAGGGAAGCCGAGAAAUUGGCCGCCUGGGAAGUACGUCCGCAAGGAUGAAACUUAAAGGAAUUGGCGGGGGAGCACUACAACCGGAGGAGCCUGCGGUUUAAUUGGAUUCAACGCCGGAAUCGAAUUCCCGCGGGCC